AGGACGAACGCUGGCGGCGUGCUUAACACAUGCAGUCGAGCGGAAAGGCCCUUCGGGGUACUCGAGCGGCGAACGGGUGAGUAACACGUGAGCAACCUGCCCUUAGCUCCGGGAUAGCUCCGGGAAACCGGAAUUAAUACCGGAUAUGACCUAGGCCGACAUCGGCUGUGGUGGAAAGUUUUUCGGCUGGGGAUGGACUCGCGGCCUAUCAGCUUGUUGGUGGGGUAAUGGCCUACCAAGGCGACGACGGGUAGCCGGCCUGAGAGGGCGACCGGCCACACUGGGACUGAGACACGGCCCAGACUCCUACGGGAGGCAGCAGUGGGAAUCUUGCGCAAUGGGCGAAAGCCUGACGCAGCGACGCCGCGUGGGGGAUGAAGGCCUUCGGGUUGUAAACCCCUUUCAGCAGGGACGAGCGAAAGUGACGGUACCUGCAGAAGAGCGCCGCUAACUACGCGCCAGCAGCCGC
This 469-nucleotide ribosomal RNA is filed under the name uncultured bacterium. RNAcentral describes it as "SSU rRNA". It matches the Rfam family "Bacterial small subunit ribosomal RNA", at positions 26 to 518 of the family's 1533-position model. The record is from RNAcentral.